RNAcentral lists this small RNA (119 nucleotides) under Marmota monax (woodchuck). Lineage: Eukaryota; Metazoa; Chordata; Mammalia; Rodentia; Sciuridae. The record is from RNAcentral.
GCCAGGCUCGGUGAUGCACACCUGUAAUCCCAGCAACUCAAGAGGCUGAGGCGGGAGGAUCACUUGAGCCCAGAAGUUCACGGUCAACCUGGGCAACACAAUAAGACCCCCCACCUCCA